AGAGUUUGAUCAUGGCUCAGGACUAACGCUGGCGGCGUGCCUAACACAUGCAAGUCGAACGAGUUGUUUAUAGUAGCAAUAUUACGAACAGCAAGUGGCGAACGGGUGAGUAACACGUAGAUAAUCUGCCUUUCAGACGGGGACAACUCAGGGAAACUUGUGCUAAUACCCGAUGAGACUACGGGAGGGGACUUCUGUAGCCAAAAGUGGGGGCAACCUCACGCUGAAAGAUGAGUCUGCGUCCUAUCAGCUAGUUGGUGGGGUAAAAGCCUACCAAGGCGAAGACGGGUAGCCGGCCUGAGAGGGUGAACGGCCACACUGGGACUGAGACACGGCCCAGACUCCUACGGGAGGCAGCAGUGAGGAAUUUUCCGCAAUGGGCGCAAGCCUGACGGAGCGACGCCGCGUGAGGGAUGACGGCCUUCGGGUUGUAAACCUCUUUUAUUAGGGAAAAAGGUUGGCAUGCUAAC
RNAcentral lists this ribosomal RNA (470 nucleotides) under uncultured bacterium. Its description in RNAcentral is "bacterial SSU rRNA". It matches the Rfam family "Bacterial small subunit ribosomal RNA", at positions 8 to 464 of the family's 1533-position model. The record is from RNAcentral.